UUAGCUAGAAGGUGUCAGGUUCAAUAGAGAUAAUAACUAGGACUCUAACGUACCUUGAGACAUAAGUUCGAAGUCUCAAAUAGUACUCUUCAAAACUGGAAAUCACGACUACUUCACGACACUGACGUGAUACAUCCCGUGAUACAACACGCCAUGCCCACUGAGUUUCUCGCCGGAUCUUCUCAGUUGGUCGCGUUUCCGUUCCGGUGGUAGAUUCUGUGAAGCACGGCUCUUGUUAGGGUUCGUGUUAGCAAAAUCGUCAGGUUUGAGCCUCACAUGGUCUCUAUAGACCAUCAGCUUAGGUAGAAAAAAAAAGUUAAUCCUUCUUCUUUAACUACGUCUUUAGAAAAACAGACACGUAUCUGGAUUUGAGUAGAGCAUAGUCUCAUUGAGAGUAAUAUCAUCGAGCGUAGUUAAGGCAACACAGAACUUCAGUCCCCUAUUUGUUUUUGCGGUGGUUAGUCUAAGAGAAUAUUAUGUGAAGAAAAACGACAAUGUGUAGACGUUCCAUCGUAUUAUGUAUUGCUCAGUAGACUCAUGGUCAUGUACUUGUAUGUAUCUUGAAAAGGUUGUUAGCUCGACUUAGAUUUUUGCCAUAUCUCUUCUAUGACAUGAUAGCUAGCGCUAGAAAAAAGUAAAAAAUAAUAAUUCAAAUGCUAUAUGGCACUAUUCCUAUGUCCAGCAGUGGGCAGAUAAAGGCUGAUGAUGAUGAUGAUGAUGAUGACUAUUCAUGUAACCAUUAACUUUCUGAUAAUAUGAUAUUAUUUCGUUGAUACGAUGAUAAUAGAUUAAAUGUAAUUUGUACUGAAUUAGGACAGAAAAUCUUGUCGAUUGAUAUCACUAAUCUAAUCGUAAUUCCGAGUUGCCAACGAGUCUUACUAAUGUUGCCAACGAUCCAACUCCUUUCCACACAUGUCUAAGCAAUUUGAAAAAUAGUCUACCCAUAGUUAAAAGAAUCCCUCGAGGGGCUGGAAUAACCGUUGCCACACAUUUGUCACAAUUAAUCCAGAUAUGUUACGUAAGCAACUCUACUCAAGACUGGCAGAACUUAUUUUUAUUUUCAUACAGCACACACACACAAUAAAAACUGAUGAACCGAAUCUAUCCUUGAUUCAAAAGAUUAAGAAUAGAUGUGCUGUAAGCUUCUCGCCUUUUGCCGCACCUCAAAUCAAACAUGAUGCCCCUCGUAAUCGCAACAAAAUCAUCGAAAACAAAAUCUGUGACGAGAUCUAAAAGGUGCCGCUCGCCUUUUGUUCUCCAACGACGUGCUAUCACCAGAUACCCCUGACACCCUUCAGGCCUUACGGAUAAAACAUUCUCCAGCUCCAAUAAGCACAUAUUUUCUCAACCCACCCAGCAAGCCAAGUAUUCCUUCCUUCAAAUCCAAAACAAAAAUGUUAUGGAUUUUUUCUUAUAAAAAAUGUUAUGGAUUUUAUCUUUUAAACCAGGUUGGCUGCAGGUUUGGAUGGAAUCUCACCCCAACAUUUGAAAGACUUAACAUUGCAUUCUCUGGGUGAUGCAGGGGAGCAACUUGUAAAUUCGAUCACAAAUUAAUCAACUUUAUGUAUUCCGGUAAUGUCGAUCCAGAAAUUGUUCCCAUUCUUUUCGGUGCGAACCUCAUUGCCCUCACAAAAAAAGACGGAUUUUUUUUUCCAGUUUCUCUAAAUUCACAGAAGAGCUGGGACGACAUAAACUGCAAAUUGACAUAUGACAAUAUUUUGAGCCGUGAGUCAAUACAGCUUCAUCAAAUACAGGACCAUUUUUUGAGCCUGACACGCUCCGAAUCGCUACCUGUCUACGGCUUAGGGUUCCGGUCUGCGCUCCUCAUAAAUGUCUCUGUGGCAGUGAUGUCGACAAGCUAGGACAUCACGGACUGUCAUGCCAAAAAAGUGCAGGCCGCUUCUCGAGACAUGCCGCACUUAAUGAUAUCAUACGUCGGUCCCUUGCCUCCGUCAACGUGCCAAGUCUACUUGAGCCGACUGGUAUUGCAAGAGACGAACGACAAGAGACCGGACGGUAUGGGUUUGAUUCCAUGGAAGAUGGGUCGGGUGCUGGUAUGGGAUGCAACCUGUUCAGAUACGCCCCUUCCCAUCUACAUGGAACUAACAAUAGAGCUAGUGCGGCUUGUGAAGCGGCUGAAAAAGCCAAAACUUGCAAAUACAAGGGUCUAGGCUCGGAAAAUGUUUUGUCCCAUUCGGUGUCGAGACCCUUGGUCCGUGGGUACUAGCGCUAUAAGGCUUUUUGAGGAAAUAGCAAAAAGGUUAGUCGAUAUCACAGGAGACCGAAGAGCUAGCAGCUACCUUGGACAAAGAAUUAGUCUAGCUAUUCAAAGGGGGAACGCUGCCAGUAUCUUCGGAACCUUGCCUAAAGGGACUCCUUUUAAUAAGAUAUUUUAAUUAUUAAAUUAUUAUUAUUAUUUAUUAUUUAAUUUAUAAAUUUGACGGCGUUAACGAUAUUUAUGUUAUAUAGCACGUGCAAUAGAGUGACUCACACAAGCCAGGCGCGCCGGCCGUGUCGUUCCACUCGUAAACAAUAGCUGCAACAGAAGUGACUCAUAAGCCAGCUGCGCCGGCUAGUAUAAAAAGGCGGAACGUGCCUUGAAAUGAACAUUCGUUGGACUGCGCUUGCCUGGUGCACUUACUAUAUCCUUGUUACGUUGUGUGAUUCAGUGACUGUUGUACGUACUGGUUAAAGUUGGACAAGUGUUAAAGUGAAUUGUUAAGAUAACAUAUUGUUGAUUAAAUCAGGAACCAAAAAGUGACAUCGUUUUACUUGGUGUUCAACAAGAUAAUGUCUACCCGCAAGCUUACAAAUUUAUAUGUCUGCGGCGCGCCAGGGAUGGCUAAGCGGUAGUUUCCGUCAUCACUCGUAUUUGGUUGAACUCAGUUUAUAAAAAGUCAACAAAACCUUUUGAAUAAUAAUUAUUGAAACUCAACACACACGACUUACACAAUGACAGGGUAAACCGACAGUUUCGUUCCACAUACCGACAGACCGACUGACUGACUACCAGAGACUCACUGACUGAGACGGACGGACCGUCCGAUACGGACUGAAUGACUGUCUGACACGGAAUGCCACGACUCUGUCCACGUACCGCCAUUUUAUACUGUGGCGUUACGGAGUCUACCCUACCACCUACCAUAAUGGUGUAAUUUCCUCAACAAUUUAUUAUGUUCAACACAAUCAAAAGCUAUAGAUAAGUCGCAGAAUACCCCAAGGGCAUUAGGCGAUUCCGCCCAAGCCUGAAAAAUAUUUUUAAUAAGAUCUACACCUGCAUUUAUAGUCGAACGACCUCUCUCUUCGCCUUUCGACGAAACCAUCGAUGGUGGAUUGACGAUAAAAACCACGUACACAGUUGAUGGCAACACCGUAACUCAUGUUAUAGAGAAUCCCAAUGGCACAGCACAUUCAAAAGGGAAUACGGUGACACCGAACUAAAAGUAACUAUCACAGCUGAUAAAUGGGACGACGUCGCCUAUCGACAC
Molecule: long non-coding RNA, 3488 nt
Organism: Bombyx mori (domestic silkworm)
Lineage: Eukaryota; Metazoa; Arthropoda; Insecta; Lepidoptera; Bombycidae
Exons: 3
Source: RefSeq, a predicted model, not a curated record